RNAcentral lists this transfer RNA (800 nucleotides) under uncultured cyanobacterium. Its description in RNAcentral is "partial miscellaneous RNA". The stretch from base 257 to 329 matches the Rfam family "tRNA". The record is from RNAcentral. Lineage: Bacteria; Bacillati; Cyanobacteriota.
CAGGGAGACAAAACUGAUUUUGAUGUCUAAAUGUUUUAAUUUUAGUCCAAAAUCCUGUCACCUUAGGUCGAUCGGUACCUCAGUUCGAUAACAAACAAAUUAAGAAAUUAGUUUUUAAGUCUCGAAUUCAGUUCCUAAACUUUGUCUAGGUCACACCCAACAAGGGUACUCCUGGGCCAUUAGCUCAGGUGGUUAGAGCGCACCCCUGAUAAGGGUGAGGUCCCUGGUUCAAGUCCAGGAUGGCCCAUUCGGUGUUGGGGGUAUAGCUCAGUUGGUAGAGCGCCUGCUUUGCAAGCAGGAUGUCAGCGGUUCGAGUCCGCUUACCUCCACUGAUCGAUCUCCUGAACACCAAAGCCUAAGGAGUUUCUCUUCAAUGUGAUCUAGAAUUUGUUCUUAAUGAAUGAACCUAGCUUCUUGUCAUUCCUAAAAAAAUGUUUUUUAGGUUGCUAAGACGCUGGGCUCUCUGCAAUGUCAAAUUGCAGAAAUGUUCAGUAGAACCUUGACAACUGCAUAGGUGAGUCUGGAAAGAAUAAAGCAUCUCAUGGAUGCAUUAUUUCUGUUCUGGAAUUAAGUUUCUUUUUCUAGAAACAUGUUUAAUUUUAGAUCAGGUAAUGAUGUUUAAUUCUUGAGCAAGAGUCGAGACUCUAUAGCGUUCUUUCAUUGUAUUAAAUACAUUGAGAGUCAGAUUUUUCAAUUUGAUUAAAUCAAUUAUUAUUUGGAUCUUUUCUUAAUAGUAAUUAUUUUCAGUCAAAUUAAAAAGAAAAGUGUUAACAACACAAUAACGUUUUAGAGAUUUAUAU